This 515-nucleotide ribosomal RNA is filed under the name uncultured bacterium. Its description in RNAcentral is "partial 16S ribosomal RNA". It matches the Rfam family "Bacterial small subunit ribosomal RNA", at positions 28 to 523 of the family's 1533-position model. The record is from RNAcentral.
GAUGAACGCUGGCGGCGUGCCUAAUACAUGCAAGUCGAGCGAAUGGAUUGAGAGCUUGCUCUUAUGAAGUUAGCGGCGGACGGGUGAGUAACACGUGGGUAACCUGCCCAUAAGACUGGGAUAACUCCGGGAAACCGGGGCUAAUACCGGAUAACAUUUUGAACCGCAUGGUUCGAAAUUGAAAGGCGGCUUCGGCUGUCACUUAUGGAUGGACCCGCGUCGCAUUAGCUAGUUGGUGAGGUAACGGCUCACCAAGGCAACGAUGCGUAGCCGACCUGAGAGGGUGAUCGACCACACUGGGACUGAGACACGGCCCAGACUCCUACGGGAGGCAGCAGUAGGGAAUCUUCCGCAAUGGACGAAAGUCUGACGGAGCAACGCCGCGUGAGUGAGGAAGGCUUUCGGGUCGUAAAACUCUGUUGUUAGGGAAGAACAAGUGCUAGUUGAAUAAGCUGGCACCUUGACGGUACCUAACCAGAAAGCCACGGCUAACUACGUGCCAGCCGCCGCUGUAA